GCCAUGCCGCGUGCAGGAAGACGGCCCUAUGGGUUGUAAACUGCUUUUAUACAGGAAGAAACACUCGUACGUGUACGAGCUUGACGGUACUGUAAGAAUAAGGACCGGCUAACUCCGUGCCAGCAGCCGCGGUAAUACGGAGGGUCCGAGCGUUAUCCGGAAUCAUUGGGUUUAAAGGGUCCGCAGGCGGUCAAUUAAGUCAGAGGUGAAAUCCCAUAGCUUAACUAUGGAACUGCCUUUGAUACUGGUUGACUUGAGUCAUAUGGAAGUAGAUAGAAUGUGUAGUGUAGCGGUGAAAUGCAUAGAUAUUACACAGAAUACCGAUUGCGAAGGCAGUCUACUACGUAUGUACUGACGCUGAGGGACGAAAGCGUGGGGAGCGAACAGGAUUAGAUACCCUGGUAGUCCACGCCGUAAACGAUGGAUACUAGUUGUUGGGAUUUAUCUCAGUGACUAAGCGAAAGUGAUAAGUAUCCCACCUGGGGAGUACGGUCGCAAGACUGAAACUCAAAGGAAUUGACGGGGGCCCGCACAAGCGGUGGAGCAUGUGGUUUAAUUCGAUGAUACGCGAGGAACCUUACCAGGGCUUAAAUGUAGUCUGACAGCUUUAGAGAUAGAGUUUUCUUCGGACAGAUUACAAGGUGCUGCAUGGUUGUCGUCAGCUCGUGCCGUGAGGUGUCAGGUUAAGUCCUAUAACGAGCGCAACCCCUGUUGUUAGUUGCCAGCAUGUAAAGAUGGGAACUCUAACAAGACUGCCAGUGCAAACUGUGAGGAAGGUGGGGAUGACGUCAAAUCAUCACGGCCCUUACAUCCUGGG
RNAcentral lists this ribosomal RNA (817 nucleotides) under uncultured Flavobacteriaceae bacterium. Its description in RNAcentral is "bacterial SSU rRNA". It matches the Rfam family "Bacterial small subunit ribosomal RNA", at positions 391 to 1213 of the family's 1533-position model. The record is from RNAcentral. Lineage: Bacteria; Pseudomonadati; Bacteroidota; Flavobacteriia; Flavobacteriales; Flavobacteriaceae.